Etheostoma spectabile (orangethroat darter) is the source of this 255-nucleotide long non-coding RNA. RefSeq lists it as uncharacterized. Lineage: Eukaryota; Metazoa; Chordata; Actinopteri; Perciformes; Percidae. The transcript is spliced from 2 exons. The record is from RefSeq and is a predicted model, not a curated record.
AAAUAACGUCUGAGACAUUAUAUUCUAUUAGUGUUUAGAUGUGUGGUUUUCUUCUUUUUAUCUGAUUUUGGCUUGUUUCACAGAGGAAGCGCAUGGUUGUUCCAGCUGCUCUUAAGGUUGUGCGUCUGAAGCCCACUCGCAAGUUCGCUCUGCUUGGGCGUCUGGCACUGAGGUCGGCUGGAAGUACCAGGCCAUCACAGCUACCCUGGAGGAGAAGAGAAAGGAGAAGGCUAAGCUUCGCUAUGGCAGAGAAAA